Molecule: long non-coding RNA, 481 nt
Filed under: Gallus gallus (chicken)
Lineage: Eukaryota; Metazoa; Chordata; Aves; Galliformes; Phasianidae
Source: RNAcentral
AAGCACACGGGUGAUUAGCUGUGCUCUUUUCCUGUGCUUUACGCAUCUGAUCCUUUCUGAACAACUGAAGUCCAUAAAGAAAAAUAAGAGAUGAGACAAAAUGAAAGGAGGUAGAUGGAGAUUUUGCAGUUUGGAACAAUAUCAAUAGAUACACAGGAUGCAGCUCAGGAUACAUUAUCGUGUCCUGUCAGGCAGCAGGAGGAUAAGAACUCCAUAUUUUGAUGACACGACUAACUGGAUCAUUCUGCAUUUGUCUAGAAGCAGGUAUUAAUGUACUAUGAUGAUUUUAUUGGUAGAAUAUCUGCGAUGUUUCAUAUGUUUCCAGAGUAUGUGGCAGUUGAGCAAGGUCUUGGUAAUCUGAAUUUUUAGGUUAGAGAGUAGUCAUCUUAUUGCAUCUGCAUUCUUACAAAUCCUAUCCCUGUGUUCAGCUUCCAGAAGGGCUUAAGGUCACUCUCAAAUCCUUCUAAAGGUACCUAUCCAC